UUCGCCAAGCAUAAGAAGGUCGUG
This 24-nucleotide non-coding RNA is filed under the name Arabidopsis thaliana (thale cress). The record is from RNAcentral. Lineage: Eukaryota; Viridiplantae; Streptophyta; Magnoliopsida; Brassicales; Brassicaceae.